Molecule: ribosomal RNA, 492 nt
Filed under: uncultured bacterium
Lineage: Bacteria
Description: bacterial SSU rRNA
Rfam family: Bacterial small subunit ribosomal RNA
Source: RNAcentral
GAUGAACGCUAGCGGCAGGACCUAACACAUGCAAGGUCGAGGGGCAUCAUGGCGUAGCAAUACGCUGAUGGCGACCGGCGCACGGGUGCGUAACGCGUAUGGAACCUACCCACCGCGAGGGGGACUAACCCGCCGAAAGGCGGACUAAUACCCCAUGGUUCCCCGACCCUGCCUGGGGUUGGGGGUAAAGCCUACGGGCGGCGGUGGAUGGCCCUGCGUGCCAUUAGCUGGCUGGUGAGGUAACGGCUCACCAAGUCAACGAUCAUUAGGGGUUCUGAGAGGAAGGUCCCCCACACUGGUACUGAGACACGGACCAGACUCCUACGGGAGGCAGCAGUGAGGAAUAUUGGUCAAUGGACGAGAGUCUGAACCAGCCAAGUCGCGUGAAGGAAGACGGUUCUAUGAAUUGUAAACUUCUUUUGUGCAGGAAUAAAGUGGGUUACGUGUAACCUUUUGUAUGUACUGUACGAAUAAGGAUCGGCUAACUCCGUG